This is a transfer RNA of Macrophomina phaseolina MS6, 120 nucleotides long. It matches the Rfam family "tRNA". Rfam says of the family: Transfer RNA (tRNA) molecules are approximately 80 nucleotides in length. Their secondary structure includes four short double-helical elements and three loops (D, anti-codon, and T loops). The record is from Rfam. NCBI's taxonomy places the organism in Eukaryota, Fungi, Ascomycota, Dothideomycetes, Botryosphaeriales, Botryosphaeriaceae.
GCGUUGGUGGUUUAGUGGUAAAAUUCAUCGUUGCCAUGUAACCGGACACUUCUUGGGAAACACUGAGGAAAUCCGGCUUAUAGUUUCGAUGAGCCCCGGGUUCGAUUCCCGGCCGACGCA